RNAcentral lists this ribosomal RNA (771 nucleotides) under Exophiala phaeomuriformis. RNAcentral's name for it is "eukaryotic LSU rRNA". The stretch from base 208 to 362 matches the Rfam family "5.8S ribosomal RNA". The record is from RNAcentral. Lineage: Eukaryota; Fungi; Ascomycota; Eurotiomycetes; Chaetothyriales; Herpotrichiellaceae.
AAAAACCUCCUGGAGAAUAUCUCCGGGGGCGGAUCUCGCGGCGCGAUGAUUUAUUGAGCUCUUGUUGCUUCGGCGGGCCCGUCGUUAUACGGCCGCCGGAGGACCGACUCCAGGUCCUCUGGCCCGCGCCCGCCGAUAGCCAAAAUUACCAAACUCUUGAAUAAUCGUGCCUAUGAUGUCUGAGUACUAUAUUAAAAAUAAAAGCAAAACUUUCAACAACGGAUCUCUUGGUUCUGGCAUCGAUGAAGAACGCAGCGAAAUGCGAUACGUAAUGCGAAUUGCAGAAUUCCAGUGAGUCAUCGAAUCUUUGAACGCACAUUGCGCCCUUUGGUAUUCCGAAGGGCAUGCCUGUUCGAGCGUCAUUAUCACCCCUCAAGCCCUCCGGCUUGGUGUUGGACGGUCUGGUCGAGCUGCUCGACCCCUCCCAAAGACAAUGACGGCGGCCUGGUUGGACCCCCGGUACAUGGAGCUUCUUAAUUGAGCACGUAUCGGUUUCAAGGCGUCCCCGGGACCCGGUCUCCUCUCUCCCCCUCGCGGGAGGGAAACCCCCCUUUUUUCUAAGGUUGACCUCGGAUCAGUAGGAAUACCCGCUGAACUUAAGCAUAUCAUAAGCGGAGGUACCGAAGGGUUGAGGGCUGUCGCCGAUCACUUGCUUUAUUGACCGUUGCUGCGGGGCUCUUAAGGGCGAGGCACCGUCUGCCGAUAAUAAUUAAAACUUAUGCGAACAAUUAAAACAUACGUUCUAGCAGGGUAUAUCUGUCAUAGGCUCUU